UGGGGAAUAUUGGACAAUGGGCGAAAGCCUGAUCCAGCCAUGCCGCGUGUGUGAAGAAGGUCUUCGGAUUGUAAAGCACUUUAAGUUGGGAGGAAGGGCAUUAACCUAAUACGUUAGUGUUUUGACGUUACCGACAGAAUAAGCACCGGCUAACUCUGUGCCAGCAGCCGCGGUAAUACAGAGGGGGCAAGCGUUAAUCGGAAUUACUGGGCGUAAAGCGCGCGUAGGUGGUUUGUUAAGUUGGAUGUGAAAUCCCCGGGCUCAACCUGGGAACUGCAUUCAAAACUGACUGACUAGAGUAUGGUAGAGGGUGGUGGAAUUUCCUGUGUAGCGGUGAAAUGCGUAGAUAUAGGAAGGAACACCAUUGGCGAAGGCGACCACCUGGACUAAUACUGACACUGAGGUGCGAAAGCGUGGGGAGCAAACA
This 427-nucleotide ribosomal RNA is filed under the name uncultured bacterium. RNAcentral's name for it is "partial 16S ribosomal RNA". It matches the Rfam family "Bacterial small subunit ribosomal RNA", at positions 355 to 774 of the family's 1533-position model. The record is from RNAcentral.